UACGUAGGGUGCAAGCGUUAAUCGGAAUUACUGGGCAUAAAGCGUGCGCAGGCGGCUUUGCAAGACAGAUGUGAAAUCCCCGGGCUUAACCUGGGAACUGCAUUUGUGACUGCAUGGCUGGAGUGCGGCAGAGGGGGAUGGAAUUCCGCGUGUAGCAGUGAAAUGCGUAGAUAUGCGGAGGAACACCGAUGGCGAAGGCAAUCCCCUGGGCCUGCACUGACGCUCAUGCACGAAAGCGUGGGGAGCAAACAGG
This 253-nucleotide ribosomal RNA is filed under the name uncultured bacterium. Its description in RNAcentral is "partial 16S ribosomal RNA". It matches the Rfam family "Bacterial small subunit ribosomal RNA", at positions 524 to 776 of the family's 1533-position model. The record is from RNAcentral.